GUCACACACUCAUUGGCGGGCAGGAUGUAGUCCGUAAUGCAGAGUGUGCUACAACGGACCACUGCUGUUGAUAACAUCAGGCCCCCUUCAUGAAUAAAUGAACCCACCGCUGCUGACUUAUGCUGCCUGGAGAUUUAGCCGUGUGAGGAGACGGACUCGAGGGCUCGCUGUGUUAAUGUCCUCCGUAUAGAUUACUGUGCUUACUAAUUCAUGCAGCGGGGGGUAAUUUAUCGGGCUUUCAUGGAGGUCUCCAAUGGGAGAUAAAUGCUGUCUGUCCGGCCCUCUGCAGAGACCUCUGUGAAUUCAUCAAGUGGAGGCUAAAUUGGUUUUCAUGGACUCCCCAGGGAAUUCUUUUUUCCCCCCGAUGGGUGAGCUCCGGAGGACCGCUGCACGUCGCAAUGCAAACCCACAUCUGAUCCGGGAAUAUAUCUUUUUGUUUCAUUAUCCUGGUCCUUCGUGGUCCAAAGUUCAACUGUGAUUUAUGAUUUAUAGAAACACCGGCAGUGACGAGAUAUUGAGAUUCAUCCUCCAAUGUAAUAUUUCCAAAGACACAUUGAAGUUCCACUCAUUUUCUUUUCUUGGUAAUAGAGCAAAACAUCCUGUUUGAUACAAAAUGAAUCUACAAAGAAGUAAUAACAUCUCAAUAGUCCUUUUUUACUCAGAUUAUAGCAUUCGUCUCACUAUAACGUUUAUUCCUCUUGAGACUCAAUACAACUUUGAUGUAGAUGAAGUCACUCCAAAAAUUGCACCAAAAUACAUGAGAAGUUUCAUGUCAAAGAAGGAUAACAGGACUGAUGCGCUUUAGGGGGAACUACUUGAUCCCAAGCAUGAAGAAGCUGAUAACCAAAUACGCAGAGAGAGCUUCUGAUUUACAAUACUGGCCGAUGUCUUUACAUGGAUGAUAGUUGUUCAUUAAUCCUCUGAAUGUCGAAUGGGGAACUUUAUUGAGGUUUGAGAAGAAAAAAGUAGGUGCUAAUCCGCCAGUUAGUGCAGAAAUGCAUGAGAACAGACUCCCACGGGCCGGCGAGCGCCUGUCAUUCGGUGACGGGCUGAAGGUUGAGACGAGGUUCCCCACCGGCUGCAUGGAACGCAGGAGACAUAUUAAAGCAUCGGCGUCUCCCACACGCUUCUCUGUUGGAUGGUGGUUGGAUGUUCUUCACUUUGCCUGCGUGACCUCUUUUGAACCGGGCGUGUUGAAGCAGAGCAUCUUCCUCGGGUCUCGUCGGAUGUGAAAACACGGAGAGGUAUAUAUAUAUAUAUAUAAUAUAUAUAUAAAUGUGAUAUAGGGAUAGCUCUUUCUGGAUGGCGUCACCAGGGGAGGACAGUCGUUUUGGAACAUUGUAUUUACUGACGGUUUCAGAGUCUGUUUUUCAGGAGGCCCACGGCUUGUUUUGCUGCCUGUUGCAAGGAUCAUUUCCAAUUUAUGUUGCCCGAGGUUUAUCACCAGCCUUCGGGCCGCUGUGAGCGGCGUUAGUGUAACCAGGGGACGGGAGGUAAUUUGAUUUUCCACAUAAACACUGGCCCAUUUAAGUCAGUUAUCCAGAUGGAAAAGUAAUAUUGGAGGGAACUCUGGGUGAUCCUAGAACCAUGAAACUUCACCCACAGUAAUAAGAAAGAAGUGCAAACUCAAUUCAGCACACAAU
Molecule: long non-coding RNA, 1643 nt
Organism: Gasterosteus aculeatus aculeatus (three-spined stickleback)
Lineage: Eukaryota; Metazoa; Chordata; Actinopteri; Perciformes; Gasterosteidae
Source: Ensembl